AUGCAAUACCGUGAGGUGGAGCGAACCCCUAAAAAUACGUCCCAGUUCAGAUUGCAGUCUGCAACUCGACUGCAUGAAGUCGGAAUCGCUAGUAAUCGCGGAUUAGCAUGCCGCGGUGAAUACGUUCCCGGGCCUUGUACACACCGCCCGUCACACCAUGAGAGUCGGGAACACCCGAAGUCCGUAGCCUAACCGCAAGGGGGGCGCGGCCGAAGGUGGGUUCGAUAAUUGGGGUGAAGUCGUAACAAGGUAGC
RNAcentral lists this ribosomal RNA (254 nucleotides) under uncultured bacterium. RNAcentral's name for it is "partial 16S ribosomal RNA". It matches the Rfam family "Bacterial small subunit ribosomal RNA", at positions 1247 to 1500 of the family's 1533-position model. The record is from RNAcentral.